Molecule: ribosomal RNA, 293 nt
Filed under: Haemaphysalis longicornis (longhorned tick)
Lineage: Eukaryota; Metazoa; Arthropoda; Arachnida; Ixodida; Ixodidae
Description: partial large subunit ribosomal RNA
Source: RNAcentral
CAAAAAAAUUCUUUUUUAAGUUUAAAAAUUAAAGUUAUUUUUAUUUGUGAAGAAACAAUAAUAAAAAUUAAAGACAAGAAGACCCUAUGAAUUUUUAUAAACUUUAAUAUUUAAUUAAAUAUUAAAGUUUAUUUAAUUGGGGCGAUUGAGAAAGAUAAAAAACUUUUUUUUUAUUUAAAGAGAUCCAUUAUUAAUGAUUUUAUGUAAAAAAUACUCUAGGGAUAACAGCGUAAUAAUUUUAGAUAGAUCUUAUAGAAAAAAUAGUUUGCGACCUCGAUGUUGGAUUAGGAUAC